UAAGAAAAAAAAGGUCAUAAUCUGCUUUGAGAUGUGGAUUUUGUUUCUCUUUAAUCUUAAUGCUUUAAUUCCUGUUUUUCCACAUAUCCAAAAGAGGAGGAGGAGGACUACUAGAUUUUGAGAUUAAAAAAAAUUGCUGCAAACCAAAUGUGUAGGUAGAAUGCCAGUGAGUUGUCUCUUAAUAUUUGCCCCUAGUUCCAGUCUUUGGAAUAUAGUCUCACUAUUUCUUUUCACAGAAAUUUUGGCCAAGAAAUGCUUAAAAAAAAAAAAAAAGAAAACAAAAAACAAAACAACCCAAAUAAGCCCCCAAACUGUAAACAUUGAUGUCAUAUUCAUUUUUUCUUUUAAAGGUAAUUUACGAGAUCACAGUAAAUUUGAUUGGUGAUGGCCCUGAACAAAUACAGCUCUUUAAUUUGAGGUGCCAUUUUGAAGACUGAGACUGGAGUGCUUUUCUGAGGAUAAAGGAAAUCUUUGCGAAUGUCUUUUUUAAUAUAGCAAAAAUAUGAAUCCUGAGACUGAAUUCUCUAAAGGGUCUAUACAACGUAAUAGAUGUUGGUGGAAGCAUUUACACCCAGUCAGCUUGAAGAGUCUCAAAUGGACCCUACCACUGAGAAAUCAAGAUGGCAGUCCACUUGAGGAAAAUGGAUUAAUACACGAAUGCUGUGAUAUAUGCAACCAAGACAGGGUUCUUUUAACAUGGAGUUCAUGAAAUGAAGAUAUAGGUUUCUUACCUGUAGUCCCAACAUAAUGGACAGUGGAUUUGACUUUCUAAAGACUUUUUGUAUUACUGAGUAUAUUUUCAGAGAAGAUGGUAUAUUAACACAGAUGAUAGUUUGUAUGCCUGCCAUUUUUAAUAGUUUUGUAUGACCUUUUGAUAUGUUACCUUUAAUAA
Condylura cristata (star-nosed mole) is the source of this 892-nucleotide long non-coding RNA. RefSeq lists it as uncharacterized. The record is from RefSeq and is a predicted model, not a curated record. NCBI's taxonomy places the organism in Eukaryota, Metazoa, Chordata, Mammalia, Eulipotyphla, Talpidae. The transcript has 4 exons.